This 302-nucleotide signal recognition particle RNA is filed under the name Saimiri boliviensis boliviensis (Bolivian squirrel monkey). Its description in RNAcentral is "Metazoan signal recognition particle RNA (ENSSBOG00000004720.1)". It matches the Rfam family "Metazoan signal recognition particle RNA". Rfam says of the family: The signal recognition particle (SRP) is a universally conserved ribonucleoprotein. It is involved in the co-translational targeting of proteins to membranes. The record is from RNAcentral. Lineage: Eukaryota; Metazoa; Chordata; Mammalia; Primates; Cebidae.
GAGGGCACAGUGGCGUGUGCCUGUGGUCCCAGCUACUCAGUACUCAGGAGGCUGAAGGAUUGCUUGUGACCAGGAAUCUGGGCUGUAGUGCACUACGCAAUUGAGUGUCCACACUAAUUUCAGCAUCAGUAUGGUGAUCUCCCAGAAGCAGGAGACCACCAAGUUGCCUAAGGAGGAGUGAACCAGGCCAGGUUAGAAACAGUGCAGUUAAAACUCCCUUGCUGAUCAGUAGUGGGAUCAUCCCUGUCAAUCAUCCCUGGAGUGUACUCCAGCCUCGGCAACAUAAUGAGACCCCGUCUCCA